CGGCAUGCUUGCUAGCUGACUCUUGAAGAAGCUGCAAUGGGGUUGCAGAGGUCGCAGGUUCGAAUCCUGUCGUCCCGACCA
This 81-nucleotide transfer RNA is filed under the name Halomonas sp. GDM18. RNAcentral's name for it is "tRNA-Pro". Lineage: Bacteria; Pseudomonadati; Pseudomonadota; Gammaproteobacteria; Oceanospirillales; Halomonadaceae. The record is from RNAcentral.